AAUGAACGCUGGCGGCGCGCCUAAUACAUGCAAGUCGAGCGAGAAGACGUAGCAAUACGUUUGUAAAGCGGCGAACGGGUGAGGAAUACAUGGGUAACCUACCCUCGAGUGGGGAAUAACUAGCCGAAAGGUUAGCUAAUACCGCGUACGCUCCUUGGACUUCGGUUCAGGGAGGAAAGCGAUACCGUGGGUAUCGCGCUCUUGGUUGGGCUCAUGUCCUAUCAGCUUGUUGGUGAGGAACGGCUCACCAAGGCUUCGACGGGUAGCUGGUCUGAGAGGACGAUCAGCCACACUGGCACUGCGACACGGGCCAGACUCCUACGGGAGGCAGCAGUAAGGAAUAUUGCGCAAUGGGCGAAAGCCUGACGCAGCGACGCCGCGUGGGGGAUGAAAGC
Molecule: ribosomal RNA, 395 nt
Filed under: uncultured bacterium
Lineage: Bacteria
Description: bacterial SSU rRNA
Rfam family: Bacterial small subunit ribosomal RNA
Source: RNAcentral